This 214-nucleotide ribosomal RNA is filed under the name uncultured bacterium. Its description in RNAcentral is "partial 16S ribosomal RNA". It matches the Rfam family "Bacterial small subunit ribosomal RNA", at positions 118 to 335 of the family's 1533-position model. The record is from RNAcentral.
UGAGCAAUCUGCCCUUCACAUCGGAAUAACCAUUGGAAACGAUGGCUAAUACCGAAUAUGACUUCGGAUCGCAUGAUCUGAAGUGGAAAGCUCCGGCGGUGAAGGAUGAGCUCGCGGCCUAUCAGCUUGUUGGUGAGGUAAUAGCUCACCAAGGCGAUGACGGGUAGCCGGCCUGAGAGGGCGACCGGCCACACUGGGACUGAGACACGGCAGA